This 440-nucleotide ribosomal RNA is filed under the name uncultured bacterium. Its description in RNAcentral is "bacterial SSU rRNA". It matches the Rfam family "Bacterial small subunit ribosomal RNA", at positions 338 to 794 of the family's 1533-position model. The record is from RNAcentral.
CCUACGGGGGGCAGCAAUUAGGAAUAUUUCGCAAUGGGGGAAACCCUGACGGAGCGACGCCGCGUGCAGGAGGAAGGCCUUCGGGUCGUAAACUGCUUUUCUCUGUGACGAUUAUGACGGUAGCAGAGGAAUAAGGGCCUGCUAACUACGUGCCAGCAGCCGCGGUCAAACGUAGGGCCCAAGCGUUAUCCGGAAUUACUGGGCGUAAAGAGUUGCGUAGGUGGCAUAGUAAGCAAAUAGUGAAAGCGUGCGGCUCAACCGCAUACCCGCUAUCUGAACUGCUAAGCUUGAGCACGAGAGAGGUAACUGGAAUUUCUAGUGUAGGAGUGAAAUCCGUAGAUAUUAGAAGGAACACCGAUGGCGUAGGCAGGUUACUGGCUCGUUGCUGACACUCAGGCACGAAAGCGUGGGGAGCGAACGGGAUUAGAUACCCGAGUAGU